Molecule: long non-coding RNA, 2722 nt
Filed under: Pan troglodytes (chimpanzee)
Lineage: Eukaryota; Metazoa; Chordata; Mammalia; Primates; Hominidae
Description: long non-coding RNA NONPTRT007079
Source: RNAcentral
GUGGGACCAAGAAUUUGCAUCUUCAGUAACUUCCCAGGAGAUGCUGGUCUUUGCAAGCCACUUCUGGAGAGUUUAUAUGAUGACUGUGUGCAGGAUAGUUUAGGAAGGGAGAGACUAGAGAUGGAGACAUCAGCCAGACAACGUUACACCAUCCAGAGAUUUAUCCUACAAUAAAAUACAGUCUAUUGAAAGACAUACAUUUGAACCACUACCAUUUUUGAAGUUUAUGAUCUUACCUAGCCAUAUGGCCUGCUGCCUCUGCCAAUUUAAAAACAGCAUUGAGGCUGUCUGCAAGACAGUCAAGCUGCAUUGCAACAGUGCAUGUCUGACAAACACCAUACAUUGUCGUGAGUCCAAAUUGCGCGGUGAUAAAUUGUUACAUUAAGUAUUUGUUUUUAAACUUUUUAUUUUUAAUGAUGAUAAAAUUUUAAGCUAAUGACAUAAUUGCUUUAUUUUUAUUUACUCAUUCAGAGUUAAACUCCCUCAAUUUCUGAACUACUCCCUUGCUGAGAGUCAGGUUCUCAGUUACUAUUACAAAAUUUAAUAAUAGAACUGUUCCAUAUGCACAAAGGACCAAGACAAAGGAAUGGGAAGGCUAGGGAAUAACAUUAACAUCCACACACUGUGUACUGUGCUCUCUGCUUGAUGCUUUGCCCACAGUGAUAAUUUCUUCAUAUAGUGCAAUGUAGUUUGUAAGGUGGUUUUAAAUUCAUGAGGUCUCAAGUACUCUCUGCCUUAUAGGACAGAUGUAGAUACGGUUUUGGUUUUUCCGUUUUUACAGUUUUAUAAGAGUACAAGUGAUGCUGUUUUAUUUGAAGCCUGAGAGCUUCUGGUUCCAUAACCAGAAAUUGCUACCUGGCUCUUCUAAUGGAAUGGAGGGCUUUUCCAUUCUUAGACCAUCCAACUCUGAACUUGCUCUGAAUCUCAAACCUUUCUGUUCACAGAACAAACGCUCAAGGGCUUUCAAGAGUGUUUCUGUAGAUUAGGUUUAUUAGCAUCAACUUCAUGACUUCUAAAAUGUGACUGCUUUCAUGUCCAGAUAGCUUGAAUACAGGUAUCUACCAGUGAUAUGGGGUGGAUAAUUAAUAAUGCUUGGUUACAUAAAGUCAGUGUUGCUUAUUUUUCAAAACUUUUUUUUUUUUUUUUUUUUUUACCAAUUAUAUUAUUCCCUUCUCCCCAAGAAGUGGGCAGAAAAGCUUUGUUAACCUCCUUUUACAGAUGAGGAAAAACAAGAUCAGAGGUGCUAAGUGCUGUAGCCUAGUGCCAGGUCUUCUGGCCCCAAUUCUGGGUUCUCCCCAAGCCCAUGUUUCUUCCCCUUUCUCACAAUCUUUACUUCUUCCUCUGACCCUCACCACCACCCAAAAUACUUUUAAUUCUGGAAAAGAAACCCAGCUGCACACUGGCACACUUGACCUUCAUGCAGUCAGAAGCUUUGGAUGAUUCCCCAUCCAAAAUAUUAGAGAUGAAAUGAAAACAAAGUAGGCAUCUGACAAAAGUUGCUUUUUCCCUUCUGCAUUUUAGGACCUCAAGUAAUGUUUAUCCAGAAACUGCUAUCAUACCAGAGAUUCAUUGUGUACUUAACAACAUAGGCAUACAAUCUGGCAAAUUUGAAAAACUCUUAACAUACACCCCAAAUCCCUGCCCAAAUUUAAGAACUAGGGUGGACACAGUGCUUUUUUCCAUGUCGCAUCUUCUGUGAUGGGGCUACGAUAUGUGGGAGCAGAGAAUGGGGAGGGUGGAGCGCAUGCCAGAUGAGGAUCUAUCAGCAAUGGGAGGGGGCCUCCACUUUAGCAUCUCCACCCUGCUCCUCUCAGAGGACCGCCUUUCAUUGCAUUCAGCUGUGAUGGUAGCAAGAACACAGGCGCGGCCCUCUCCCUCUCCUUCUCCCUCUCCCUCUCCCCAUGGUCUCCCUCUCCCUCUCUUUCCACGGUCUCCCUCCGAUGACGAGCCGAAGCUGGACGGUACUGCUGCCAUCUCGGCUCACUGCAACCUCCCUGCCUGAUUCUCCUGCCUCAGCCUGCCGAGUGCCUGCGAUUGCAGGUGCGCCGCCACGCCUGACUGGUUUCGUAUUUUUUUGGUGGAGACGGGGUUUCGCUGUGUUGGCCAGGCUAGUCUCCAGCUCCUAACCGCGAGUGAUCUGCCAGGCUCGGCCUCCCGAGGUGCCGGGAUUGCAGACGGAGUCUCGUUCACUCACUGCUCAAUGGUGCCCAGGCUGGAGUGCAGUGGCGUGAUCUUGGCUCGCUACAACCUCCACCUCCCAGCAGCCUGCCUUGGCCUCCCAAAGUGCCGAGAUUGUAGCCUCUGCCCGGCCGCCACCCCGUCUGGGAAGUGAGGAGCGUCUCUGCCCGGCCGCCAUCCCAUCUAGGAAGUGAGGAGCGCCUCUUCCCAGCCGCCAUCCCAUCUGGGAAGUGAGAAGCGUCUCUGCCCGGCCGCCCAUCGUCUGAGAUGUGGGGAGCACCUCUGCCCUGCCGCCCCGUCUGGGAUGUGGGGAGCGUCUCUGCCCGGCCGCCCCGUCUGAGAAGUGAGGAGACCCUCUGCCUGGCAACCGCCCCGUCUGAGAAGUGAGGAGCCCCUCCGCCCAGCAGCUGCCCGGUCUGAGAAGUGAGGAGCCCCUCCGCCCAGCAGCCACCCCGUCUGGGAAGUGAGGAGCGUCUCUGCCCAGCAGCCACCUCGUCCGGGAGGGAGGUGGGGGGGUCAGCCCCCCACCCAGCCGGCCGCCCCG